Molecule: long non-coding RNA, 3068 nt
Organism: Acinonyx jubatus (cheetah)
Lineage: Eukaryota; Metazoa; Chordata; Mammalia; Carnivora; Felidae
Exons: 4
Source: RefSeq, a predicted model, not a curated record
GGUCACCAGCCCUGGGGUCCUUGCCCUGUCCUCAGAGGUCACCAGCCCUGGGGGCCCAGCCCAUCCUCAGAGGUCACCAGCCCUGGGGUCCUUGCCCUGUCCUCAGAGGUCACCAGCCCUGGGAGCCCAGCCUGUCCUCAGAGGUCACCAGCCCUGAGGGCCCAGCCCUGUCCUCAGACAUCACCAGCCCUGGGGGCCCAGCCUGUCCUCGGAGGUCACCAGCCCUGCGGGCCCAGCCUGCUGAAGCCAGACGUGUCUCUAGGAAGUCAGACCUCUGUCUCUAGCAACCCAUCCAGGAAGCCCAACAAUCAUGCUGGGACAGCGGUCCCCACAGCCAGAACUUGAUCAGUAACUGACAGCUUCCCCGAUUUUGUCCCCACUUCCCUCUUAGGACCAACCACAGAAAGACAAACACGUUCCCCAAACCAGUUCUGAGGACGACGCUCCAGGCCUGCCCAGGCCCGACUUCACAGCGCCCACAGCCUCCGUCAGUAGACGGACCUUCCUCCCCCUCCCCCCGGCGGAGGCCCCGCUCCUGUGCCUGCCUGUGACCUUCUGCCAGAGGCAGGAACGUGGCCCAGACGCUGAAUUCUCUCUGGCUAUUGUACAGCACACAAACAUCCCUGAACCGAACAGCUUUGACGGUUCAGGAUCUGCAGAGGUUAUCCAGAGUACAACCUCGGACCAGAUGCACCUUUUUGGAAUUCCCUUCCAGAAGGUCCCCAGAAGGCCGGAACGGGGGUGCCUGCAGGCCAGCCUGCUGCAGCCCAACCCCCAGACGUGUGCAAGGUAGAGCCCCAGACAGGAGCUCCCGGCCUGGCCCACCGCAGAGGAGGUCAGGAGCACGUGUGUCCCAGCCUCUGGCCCCCUGCCUGUGACCUUCUGCCCCGGCUGCGUCUUGGGCCGCAGUGCCUCCCUCGUGCUCAGCCUGGGUGGGCUGGUUGGAGAGGAACUCUGUUGACCCCCUCCAGGGCUGCAGGAUGAAAUGAAACAAUGUGUCCUCUGAGAGCUCCCUGCUGCUGAGUUCUGGGUCCCAGUGCUGACUCGGGUUGGGGCUCCCAAGGGAAGGGGGGCUGGACGGUGGCUGCAGCGGCUGAGAGGAAGCCAGUGGCCCUGGGGUCGUGCCCAUAGGCAUCCGGAGCCUCCCCGGUUGUCAUGACCCUCCUGUCUCCCCCUCCUCGUUCCCCAGAUGCUCCAGAUGAUUUGCCCCAUCCUGCAGGCGCUGGGAACGGAUGGCGGACGGUGAGGCACCCCUGCAGUUGUGUUCUAUUGAAGGGGUGCAGAGGCCCCACACAAACACGCGCUCGGGCACAUUGCCUACUUUGAGCCGAAGUCAUCGGAGAAGCAGAGCAGGGUGACUCAGCAGAAUUGCCCGAUUCUUGUGUCUGGGGGCUUCCUCACCUCUAACCACGCGAGAGAACCACCUCUGGUCUGGCUCCAAGGCGGGAACUGUUCCUGUUAACUGGGUGGGGCUGCUGCACGCGGCCCCAGAGAGCAACAGCCGCUUCGCUCCACCACCUAACACCCGACCCCGCGGACGGGGACACGUGAACUCGCUCGAGCUGACCGCCUCUGAGUGGGACUCAGACAUCAGUGGGUGAGUGAUCUCAGACCUAAUUACAGCGCAGUCACAGGAACUAAUGACUCGGACACAGGCAGCUGUGGUUUCUGUAACUAAAACAAUCACUUGCAGACCUUGAUCGUUUUAGGGAAUUCUUAUUAGCACGCCCUCCGCCAAGGUGAAUUAAGGGAAGGGCACACGCAUGUGGACCAGGUCACAGCUUACGUAUUUGGCUGCACGUGCCGAGCUCCAGAAUCUUACCUGCCAGUGUGAUGUUCCCCUCCCAAGACAGGCUGUGCGGAAAAUACUCAAGUAACGUGGCAGAUGCCUAAGUGGUGAUUUUUGAAAACACACACACACACUCACACACACACCCCUUCCUCGUACGCAGGCUCGAGUGAAAUCGUCUGCGUGAGCUUUCUCUGCUUCAGAAGUUAUGUCCCUCCUCACAGAAUUACGGGCUCACACACGACACCCUUCUCCCUGCACAAUUAAUCUGAAAAUAUUAUUACAGUAUCAUGUGAAUGAUCUUUGAAAAAAGGUCUUGCAGAUGUGGAGCGAGAGGGACCUUUCGGAAGACGCCUUGGGGUACAAGCUAUUAACCUUUACCAGGCUAAUUAGAGCCAUCCAGAGUUGUAAUUGUACGUAAUGUAACUUUGCCUUACAUCAGCUUCCUCCCCCAGGGUUUUAGGGGGUCUUGGGGAUUUUUCUUUUUUAAUUUUUAAUUUUGCAAAGGAUGCCCUGCCCAUACCAUUUAGUGUAGACACUCAGGGACUUGCUACACAGGAUGAUUGUUGUAAAGGAUUUUUUCAAGGGUUAUUUAAUCCUUUCGGCAUUAUGAAGUACAGGUUUAUACCAUCCUGAAGACGUUUCCUACACAAGAACUUGUUUAAGGAAAUUUGAAACAUAAACUUGGGCAGGUUCUGACCCAAACCGCCCCAUCAGCUUCCACAGGUCCGUGUAUUUACCUGUACAAGUACUGACUGGACUGACUUCGGGCCCCUGCCCCCACUCGUCCAGGGGGAGAGAGGGAACGCCGGCCAGCCACGUCCACACAUAAGGGGCCAGAGGGGCUCUCCAGCGAGGCGGAAAAAGCAAGUGUUUUGUGGAAUUUCACAUCUCCCUCAAAACUCACUGACGCAUGUAAGCAGCACCUCCUUGGGGCUGAGGUGGGCGUGCCCUGUCACACUCAGGAGGACAGGGCCAGUGACACGUGCCCUGGAUCUGGUAGUUUUUCAGAAUCACAAGCGAGAUGACUCUACAAACGGGGGGAGCCCCGCUCACGCCCAGGGUGUUUGCGUACAUUGCUUCUCGGGAGGUGAGCUGGAAGAAAGAGAGUCGUCGUGGCCACAGAGGCAUGCUGGCCUGGGCCUGGGUGCAGCCCUCGGCGGUCACCCCUCAGCGGCUCCAGACAGGAACUAGAAAGUGAAAAGUUCCCCAGAAUACUAAGAUUUCAUAAUUUUGUUACAAAAAGAGGGCACUGCUGCCAUUUCACGAGCACCCACCC